This is a long non-coding RNA of Arabidopsis lyrata subsp. lyrata, 777 nucleotides long. RefSeq lists it as uncharacterized. NCBI's taxonomy places the organism in Eukaryota, Viridiplantae, Streptophyta, Magnoliopsida, Brassicales, Brassicaceae. The transcript has 4 exons. The record is from RefSeq and is a predicted model, not a curated record.
UCCUCUCGAGCUGUUCCUCUGGCGAAACCUUCCGAUUCGCCUUAUUACAUUGGGUUGGAGAGAGUCAAGACGGAUCCGUACGAUCGGAUUAAGAACACGGAUGGGAUUAUUCAGCUUGGAUUAGCUGAGAGUACACUGUGCUUUGACUUGCUACAGAGAUGGAUGUCUGAGAAUUUGAUGGAGUCGAUGAUGCAAUCUGAUGAUGGUAAAUUCGAUAUUAGUAGUAUCGCAAUGUAUAAACCUAUUGAAGGAUUACUGGAACUCAGAGAUAAUCGCUCUUAGAAGAGCAAAGAGGAGAAACAUGGAACGUUUGGUUUUGGCAUGUGGUGGAGAAGCUGUGAACUCCGUUGAUGACUUGACCCCUGAUUCUCUUUGUUGGGCUGGAUUUGUAUAUGAGCACGUUCUUGGAAAGGAGAGGUACACAUUUGUCGAGCAAGUGAAGAAUCCUCAUUCAUGUACUAUCCUCAUAAAAGUUUAAGGGAAUGCCAAGUAAAAGAUGACACCAAAAAAAUUCAAAGAAAGCAAAAGAGGUACAAGCACCUGAAAUGCCAUCAAGACCUGAGAUUUUCAGUUCAGAGAAAGCAAAAGACAAGCACCUAAAAUGCCAUCAAGACCUGAAAUCUAGAAUUCAGAGAAAGCAAAAGAGGUCCAAGCCAAUAACAGCUUCUGUGUGUAUGUGUAAUGUGUGUAAACUUAUCAUGUAUGCAAAUAUGAAUGUUUAAGAGAAAAAUCUUUUUCAUGGUUGAACAAAAGAGAGAAACACACAAACAUGUGAUC